CCGAGUUAGGGUGCCUUCGGGCGCCCGACCUCCCAACCCUUUGUCUAUGAUACCACACAGUUGCUUCGGCGUGCCGAGGGGUUCGACCCUCGCCGGACUUUCGGUCGGGAGCGCGCACGUCGAUGGCCUCAUUUAAACUAUUGAACCCAAAACCUGUCGUCUGAACAUUUGUGAUUAUACCAAUCAAAAACA
This 192-nucleotide unclassified non-coding RNA is filed under the name uncultured Chaetothyriales. RNAcentral's name for it is "sequence contains ITS1". Lineage: Eukaryota; Fungi; Ascomycota; Eurotiomycetes; Chaetothyriales. The record is from RNAcentral.